GAUGAACGCUGGCGGCGUGCCUAAUACAUGCAAGUCGAGCGAACGGACGAGAAGCUUGCUUCUCUGAUGUUAGCGGCGGACGUGUGAGUAACACGUGGAUACCCUACCUAUAAGACUGGGAUAACUUCGGGACACCGUAGCUAAUACCGGAGAAUAUUUUGAACCGCAUGGUUCAAAGGUGAAAGACGGUCUUGCUGUAACUUCUCGCUGGAUCCGCGCUGCAUUAGCUGGUUGGUAAGGUAACGGCUUACCACGGCAACUAUGCAUAGCCGACGUGAUAGGGUGAUCGGCCACACUGGAACGUAGACGCGGUCCAUAGGACUGCGAGAGGCAGCAGUAGGGUAUCUGACGCAACGGUCGAGAGCCUGACGGAGCAACGCCGCGUGAGUGAUGAAGGUCUUCGGAGCGUGAAGCUCUGUUAUGAGUGGAAAACAGAUGUGUAAGUAAAUGUGGACAUCUUGACGGUACCUAAUCAGAAAGCCACGGCUAACUACGUG
This 497-nucleotide ribosomal RNA is filed under the name uncultured bacterium. Its description in RNAcentral is "partial 16S ribosomal RNA". It matches the Rfam family "Bacterial small subunit ribosomal RNA", at positions 28 to 507 of the family's 1533-position model. The record is from RNAcentral.